AAGUCGUAACAAGGUCUCCGUAGGUGAACCUGCGGAGGGAUCAUUAACACGUUUUAUACGUUAUCAACCAACCGUGAACCUGGAACUUGUCUAAUCACUUGCUCCAAUUAGCCCUGUUUAUCAUACUGUUACACUGUUUCUUGAUGGGUUAAUAAACUUUCGCAAGAUUGUUUAUUAUACGGCAGUGUAUACAAGAGGUGCGGCCUUAAAAGGUUGAUAAAUAGGUUACUAAAUUACCAUGAAAACAAACACCCCUUUCACCCUUUUCGUACCAAUUGACUGAUUGAAUGAAAGAGAUAACUCUCUAGUAAUUCGGAUAUUCGAAACUAAAAGCACAACUCUUAGCAAUGGAUAUCUUGGUUCUC
RNAcentral lists this unclassified non-coding RNA (365 nucleotides) under fungal sp. Its description in RNAcentral is "partial internal transcribed spacer region". The stretch from base 1 to 46 matches the Rfam family "Eukaryotic small subunit ribosomal RNA", at positions 1786 to 1831 of the family's 1831-position model. Lineage: Eukaryota; Fungi. The record is from RNAcentral.